This 718-nucleotide long non-coding RNA is filed under the name Rattus norvegicus (Norway rat). Its description in RNAcentral is "long non-coding RNA NONRATT014564". The record is from RNAcentral. Lineage: Eukaryota; Metazoa; Chordata; Mammalia; Rodentia; Muridae.
UUAGAUUCAAGUUUUUUCAUUUUUAUUAUUUUUUGUUCUUUUUAAUGUCAUGCAAUAUUUCACAGUCCCAAGCCCACGUUUUUCAAACAAGAUAGGAAAAAAAGGAAAAAAAUUUUAAAAAGAUAAAGGAAAAAAAAAAAAAAGAAGCAAGGGAAUCGGUCGGUGGUGGUGGUAAUUUUUUCUCUUUUUUCUUUUGUUAUUUCAAGCAGGACCAAAUGUCAGGGGAAAAAAAAACCGUUUUCUCAAUCAUUUUUUUUUUGUCCUUUUAAAAACUGUUAGUGUUAUUUUCUUGUAGUUGAACUCUGCAGGCAGUAAUAAGUUUGGCGUGGCCCGCAAGAACUCCCGUGGGUCUGAGAAGUGUGUGGGGCGUGCAGCCGUCCCUCCGGCUCGCAGCCACCUCGGUUUCGUUCACCGGGAAAACGAAAGAUUCAAUCGAGAUGAUAAAACUCAUCAAUAGAAGCUAUUUUUGUUUUUCUCCCCGGUUUUCUUUUUUAAAAACGUUAUUGUUUAUCAUUUGCGGUGCGCCCGCACCGUACGGGCGCUGCGGGGGGCGGGGCGGCUUAGCACCAGUCGUCCUCGCUCUCGCUGUACGCGUCGUGCGCGCCCCUGCGGGCUGUGCGCGGCCGUGGCGCGCCGUGCCCCGCGUAGUAACCAUUGGGCAGCCUGCGGCCGUGGCGCGGUGACGCGCAGCCCGCGGCGCGCGGAGUCCUGGGCGACC